RNAcentral lists this ribosomal RNA (812 nucleotides) under uncultured eukaryote. RNAcentral describes it as "bacterial SSU rRNA". It matches the Rfam family "Eukaryotic small subunit ribosomal RNA", at positions 142 to 1043 of the family's 1831-position model. The record is from RNAcentral.
GUUAUCCGUGUUAAUUUUACGGUUAAUACAUGUACUGCCACUUCNUGGUGCCUUUAUUUCGACUAUGACUCACAGGCUUGCCUGAUCGUCGUGAAGAAAUUAUCUGUGCUUAUCGUUCUUUGAAAGAAGCUUCGAAAUUAUUUCCGCCCUAUCAGAUUUCGUUGGUAACGUAGUGGGUUACCAAGUCAGUGACGGGNAACGGGGAAUUAGGGUUUGACUCCGGAGAGGGAGCCUGAGAAACGGCUACCACAUCUAUGGACGGCAGCAGGCGCGCGAAUUACCCAAUCCUAUACUAGGGAGGUAGUGACAAGAAAUAACAACAUAGAUUUUAUUAAUUUAUGAUUGGAAUGAGAGGACUUUAAAAUAUUGCUCGAAUAUCCAUUGGAGGGCAAGUCUGGUGCCAGCAGCCGCGGUAAUUNNAGCUCCAACAGCGUAUAUUAAAGUUGCUGCAGUUAAAACGCUCGUAGUUGUUGUCCAACUAUACACUCAACUCUUCGGAGAAGAGUACAAUAGUUUAGCGGAUUUUCUCCGCCAAAGCCUUGAGGAAAGAUUAGUGUUCCAAGCAAUAUCCACUUUGUCCUCCCCAGCAUGGUAUAUAACCAAAUCGAAGCAGAAAUCUGUCACUUCUGCAUCUAACUAAAUAGAAAUUCAAGGGGGUAUACGUACUUUAAUGUCAGAGGUGAAAUUCUUAGAUUUUUAAAAGACGAUCAAAUGCGAAAGCAUUUACCAAGGGAAUUUUCUUUGAUCAAGAACGAAAGUUAGGGGAUUGAAGACGAUCAGAUACCGUCGUAAUCUUAACCGUAAACUAUGCC